CUUUCUGAAUCACAAAAACCCUAAAAAAAUCCAAUUUUUUUGGAUCGAAUCUGCAAAGGAUAGAAAAUGGAGAGAAUCGUUGGAGAAAAGUACAAAUUAGGUCGCAAAAUUGGUAGCGGAUCCUUCGGUGAAAUCUUUCUUGCUACACAUGUGGAUACUCAUGAAAUCGUUGCUGUUAAAAUGGAGAAUAGGCAGACUAAGCACCCACAAUUGCUUUAUGAGGCUAAGCUAUAUAAUUAUCUCCAAGGAGUUGUUGGUGUAGCUAGGAUACAUUGGUCCGGGGUAGAUGAUCAGGACAAUGUGCUUGUCCUUGAUCUUCUUGGGCCGAGUCUCGAGGAUUUAUUUGUGUAUUGUGGAAGGAAGUUCUCGUUGAAGACUGUUCUUAUGUUAGCCGAUCAAAUGCUUACGAGAAUUGAACUUAUGCAUGCGAAAGGAUUUCUGCAUAGAGACUUGAAACCAGAUAAUUUUCUAAUGGGUCUUGGCAGGAAAGCAAAUCAAGUCUACGUCAUUGAUUUUGGACUUGCUAAAAGAUAUCGUGACCCCACUACAAGUUGCCAUAUUCCUUACAAAGCAAACAAAAACUUGACUGGGACUGCUCGCUAUGCCAGCUGCAAUACACAUUUGGGAAUUGAACAAAGUCGGCGUGAUGACUUGGAGUCACUUGGCUACGUUUUUUUAUACUUUUUGAGAGGGAGUCUGCCAUGGCAGGGCCUUAAAGGUGCAACAAAGAAGCAAAAAUAUGACAAAAUAUGUGAAAAGAAGGUAUCAACUCCCAUCGAGGUAUUAUGCAAGUUUCAUCAUGUGGAGUUUGCUUCUUACUUCCAAUACUGCCGAUCUUUGACAUUUGAGCAAAGACCUGAUUAUGGAUUCUUGAAGCGUCUUUUUCGUGACUUGUUUAUACGGGAAGGAUAUGAUUUUGAUUAUGUGUUCGAUUGGACACUUUUAAAAAACCAGCAAUCGGAGAAGACAAAGCCACAGAUUCAAUCAACUAGCCGACCAGUUCCUGGAGUGAGUAAUAGAGCAAUGCUGGCACAUUCAAAUAAGCGUCAAGGGGGUAAUGAUGAUUCCUACCAAGUUGGAGCAACAGAGCGAAGAAGAUCAAACAAUUUGGUACGUCCCGGCAUGCAUUAUAAAUCAAGGCCACCAUACGAACUCAAUGAUAAUACUUCACCUGGAAAACAUAUGAUAAGUAAUGCACCAAAAGUUUCCACUUCAUUCUCUAUGGGUGGCACUCAUAAAGCACCUGUUGUGAAGCCAGAUGAGCCACUGGAUAACAUGACAGUUGACCAUGGUCUUGACAGAAAAGCUGCGGGUGGUUCAGGUAGUUGGAUGCGAUCCUUGCACCGUGUUUCUUCAGCGAAGUAAUGGUAGCAGGAAGUUUACUUCAGUCAGAAGAUGGUAAUCAUACCAAAGGUUUCAAUCAAUUAAUCACCCAGCAGUUCGAUUGUUAGAAUAUUUUGGAGGUGAUUUACAGUAAUUGCUUGGAUGCUUCUGCUCAUGGUCGGACAUGUAAUUUCUUAAGUUUUAACAUAGGUACCAGAGUUCUUCCGAAUGUGUAUGCCAUGACUUGUUCAGGUUCUAUUAUAAAAGGAUUUUCUAGUACAUUGACACUUGUCAUGAUUACGGGUUGGAGUUUUAGUCCUUGGAUGUUCCAAGGUCAAUGGGGUAUGUAGUCAUGAUGCACCAAGAUGGUGAAUUUGGUAUGUGUAGUGUGAAAGACGUUCUUGUUUUAGAGACUGAGAUAAGAGUUGUUGGUUGAACGUAGUGUUGGUCAAUUGGGUGGAUCGGAGACAGGUUUGGGGUAGGUUGACCUGCAACACCGUAUAUCCGAUUUCCGUGAAGGUUGCACCCAUUCAUUGCUCCGAAGACAGAAGUGAAGAGAAGUUGAGUGGUUUUUUAAUUGUAUACUGUGUUUUCCAGGGACACACAAGGAGAAGUCAGAAUGAAGAUCUCCCACUGCUGCCUUUACCCCUGAGUCAAUCAAACUAUAAUGAUUGUUAAGGGUUGCAUAUAAUAGUCUCUGGUUUCUGCCAUCUUUUAAAGCAUGAUACCAGGCCUGUAUAUCAUUUUCAUCUAUAUCAAGUAUGCUACAAGAAAGCCAAUAGGCAUUGGAAGGUAAUGACUAGAUCAACCUUGGCUCAAUUAUGGGAAUACCUGGCAUAAUUCAUAAGCUCAUGAAGCCUACCACAUGAAUCAUUUUAGAGAGAAUAAGUAAAGAUUAAGCGGGUGAUACUUCGCUACUAGUAUGAUUUGUUAAGCUGUUAGCUUCUAUGUAGAUCAAUAGUGCUUAUGAUCUGGUUUGUUCGACAUGUACAUAUGUUUACUAUGUUUGUGGAUAGUAAAUCUGCAUGUGUUGCUCUCUUGUAAUACAAGGGUCAAGAUGCUUCCAACUUUACUAGUAAAGUUGAAAGCAACUUCAGAGUGUCCCUAUCCUUCUUGCAUAGCCUCUACUCUCGCCCAGUCUUCAAUUAUUCUCAAAUGUAAGCAAUUGACAUGCCUCUAUCUGUGCAUUUAUUGUGCACCAUUAUUGUCCAAACGAAAUAACUUAGUGUUGUCGAAAAUGUAGCCAUAAAAUUGGCAGUUUCAAAUCUUAGGGAGAGUGAGCUUCUUGUAAAUUUUACUUGAGGUAUUAA
RNA transcript from Erigeron canadensis, 2633 nucleotides. It is a transcript of the gene named casein kinase 1-like protein 3, with no coding region annotated. The transcript has 18 exons. The record is from RefSeq and is a predicted model, not a curated record. NCBI's taxonomy places the organism in Eukaryota, Viridiplantae, Streptophyta, Magnoliopsida, Asterales, Asteraceae.